RNAcentral lists this ribosomal RNA (428 nucleotides) under uncultured bacterium. RNAcentral describes it as "partial 16S ribosomal RNA". It matches the Rfam family "Bacterial small subunit ribosomal RNA", at positions 354 to 796 of the family's 1533-position model. The record is from RNAcentral.
GUAGGGAAUAUUGCGCAAUGGACGAAAGUCUGACGCAGCGACGCCGCGUGAGUGAUGAAGGCCUUCGGGUCGUAAAGCUCUGUUGAAUGGGAAGAAAAAAAUGACGGUACCAUUCGAGGAAGGACCGGCUAACUUCGUGCCAGCAGCCGCGGUAAUACGAGGGGUCCUAGCGUUGUUCGGAAUCAUUGGGCGUAAAGGGUGUGUAGGUGGCCAUGUAAGUCAGGUGUGAAAGCCCCGGGCUCAACCCGGGAAGUGCACUUGAUACUGCGUGGCUUGAGUACCGAAGAGGGUAGUGGAAUUCCAGGUGUAGUGGUGAAAUACGUAGAUAUCUGGGGGAACACCGGUGGCGAAGGCGGCUACCUGGUCGAGUACUGACACUGAGACACGAAAGCAUGGGGAUCAAACAGGAUUAGAAACCCGUGUAGUCC